Small nucleolar RNA from Gossypium raimondii (Peruvian cotton), 111 nucleotides. It matches the Rfam family "Plant small nucleolar RNA R71". From Rfam's summary of the family: R71 is a member of the C/D box family of snoRNAs containing the C (UGAUGA) and D (CUGA) box motifs. Multiple nearly identical copies of this snoRNA have been identified in Arabidopsis, and it is thought to function as a 2'-O-ribose methylation guide for 18S ribosomal RNA. NCBI's taxonomy places the organism in Eukaryota, Viridiplantae, Streptophyta, Magnoliopsida, Malvales, Malvaceae. The record is from Rfam.
AAUCUAUGGUGCAGCCAUUUUUGAAUCAAUAUUUUGAAACGUUCCCAUGCCUCAUAAAAAAUUUCACCCUCUAUUUGUCUAAAAAAAACAAUCUCUCACCUUACUUGGACU